UUAGAGCUUGCUCUAGAUUCACUAGUGGCAAACGGGUGAGUAACGCGUGGGAAUCUACCCAUCAGUACGGAAUAACAUUUAGAAAUAAAUGCUAAUACCGUAUAUUCUCUUCGGAGGAAAGAUUUAUCGCUGAUGGAUGAGCCCGCGUCAGAUUAGGUAGUUGGUAGGGUAACAGCCUACCAAGCCAACGAUCUGUAGCUGGUCUGAGAGGAUGAUCAGCCACACUGGGACUUAGACACGGCCCAGACUCC
Molecule: ribosomal RNA, 251 nt
Filed under: uncultured bacterium
Lineage: Bacteria
Description: partial 16S ribosomal RNA
Rfam family: Bacterial small subunit ribosomal RNA
Source: RNAcentral